UUUUUUUUUUGAGUGCGUGUUAAAUGCGUAUACAUAGAUAUAAAGUCCAUUGGUGCACAACCGAGGAUCGAACCUAUAACCUCAGGAAUGAAAGUUGCACGUUGAAACCACUAGGCCAACACUGUUUUUAAUGAUAAACGAGUAUUACUUUGUCUCGUUGGAUAAAUUGGGAUUGAAGUUGAUAAGUAAGAGAUGGAUGUUUGUUACAAAUAUGUUUUUGGGUUGGUAAGGACAAAACUGAUCUGACUGAUCACCUUGACAUAUAAAAUACCAGUAAAAAUUUACAUAAUUGUAAAUAUUUUCAUUUUACCUUAUGUAUUAAUGGCGCUAAAAGCGCAACGAGCACGGAAACAGCGACCAAAUAACCCGCCACAAAACAAUACAAAAAUGGCGACCUUGGACAUAACCGGAAACUGGGGGUCCAGUGUACGGAUUGUGAACCAACAGGCCACUUUUCUGUCGUCGACUCCAGCUAAUCUCUGCCGUUGAGAGCCUUCCACCAUGAGCCACAGGGUACCUUCCGGAUCACCACUAAGUCAGUGGAAGCUUCACCGAAUACCCCCACGUGUUACAGGAGCGUUAGACCAAAUUUAAGUUCCCAGUACACAUAGGUUUUUUUUAAAAGACCAGAAAGCUUCCCUGUGUCGAGAACCACACCCGGUUGUAGUCAUAAUUAGAUACUUCAGGGUUCAUUGUAAAUUAUUUAAUUCAAUUAAAAAAAAAUUUUUUUUUUCAAUAAAAUAUUGCACUUAU
Molecule: long non-coding RNA, 753 nt
Organism: Pieris napi
Lineage: Eukaryota; Metazoa; Arthropoda; Insecta; Lepidoptera; Pieridae
Exons: 2
Source: RefSeq, a predicted model, not a curated record